This 1720-nucleotide long non-coding RNA is filed under the name Struthio camelus australis. RNAcentral describes it as "lncRNA (ENSSCUG00000006220.1)". Lineage: Eukaryota; Metazoa; Chordata; Aves; Struthioniformes; Struthionidae. The record is from RNAcentral.
GCAGUGGACUGAGGAAGGGCUCCGCAUGCCUGCAAAGAGGCUGCAGCUGCCCCGUGAUGCCCACGCUGGGGGCGGCGAGCGCCCAGCAAGAGGUGCGAAUCAGACCCGCCGGUCUCUGCUCACCAAAGGUGCUGCACGCGGUGUUCUUCUUCGGAAAAGUGCACAGGAUCCCGGUAGCCCCCUCGGAGUUCCUAGAGCCGAGCCUCUGCACGGCGCUGCAGGCGCGCUUCCCCAGACCGUUUGACCAGUGCGGCACCCACCUCCCCAGCAUGACGCCGUACUCCAUCCUGCUGGAGUUCGGCACAAAAGAAGCAGGCUGCAGCACCAAAGAGAAGAUGGAGGCCUUCUUGAUAAAAUUUAAUGAAGCUCUGCAAAAAGCCAUGGAGGAUGGAACACCUGCUCUGAAGCCCUCUGAAUUCACUUUCAGAGCUGCAGUUGUGGCUCACAGCUUCUACAGUGAUGUCCAGGAAGGAACAGGUUCCCCUCUCUUCUUUGGAGCAUCCCUCUCAUGCAAGGGGAGGGUGGAGAGGGAGAUCAUGAUUAGCGUGUCGUGCAUGAGAACAUGGCACAAGGCAGUGGCCUUUGCGGUGUAUAAUGCAAAGUAUGGGCUGGCCGUUGUUUUCCCUGACGGAGUGCAGAGCCGGGCUUUCUGGUACCAUAAAGGAGAAUUCAAGGAAAAACAACCCUGUCUGAUUUGCAACAAGAUGUUCCAAAAUGUGGACUUUCGGCCACCCCUAGAUGAUGCCAAGAAGCCCCUGUGGCCACACGGGAACUGCGCUGAGAACGAGAGCUUGAGCAACCUGCUGUUGGGCGUCCAGGGGCUGCAGGAAAGAGUUGUCUCAACACAUGCGUCCCUGACGCCAAACACAUACAUGUCCAUUGAGCAAAAUUUUACAGCCUUCAUGGAGGAAGAUUUUAGAAAUCGGCUCAUUCAGUUGCUUCAAGAAAGCAAUUUUCCUCACCAUUCUCUCCAGUUUUUUGAGCAUGAGUGAGUGCUGAGAAGCAGCCGCAGACUGGCACUUGCUGCAGCUCCUGAGACCUCCCGGGUUAGGGCAUUGCUGCAGCAGAGCCUGCUCAAGCCUGUGACAACUCCCUCCUGCCCCAGUCUUUCCACACACUGCCCAUGGUCACCCCAGCACGCUUUGGCUGGCACAAGGCAUGGGGGCAAAAGCAGCCAGCAGGAGACCUGCACACAGAGCAGCACACAACUGUGCAGACGCUCAGUCUUCAAGCCAGGAGCUGUGUAACCACCUCACCACCGCACUUCCCCCCAUCCUGCCACCCUCUGCAAGGCACAGCAGGACACAGGAGCCGCGGAGGCCUGGAAGCACCACGGCUUGUGCUUCUGUGAGUGCCGGGCUGCUGGCGCUUGCCCCACUGCCUACAAGCACUGCGACCACCUCUCCUGUUCCACAGGGCCCCAGUGCAGCUCUAGAGAACACACAGGCAGCCCCUCUCCCCUCCUUGCCUGUAUGCUGCUUCCAAGCUUGGGCUACGAGCUCACGUGAACGGGCUCUCUGGACACGGAAAGAGGCGAGGCGAGGGCAGCUGAACGUACAGAGCCUUCAAAUUGUCACCAGCACGAGGGAGCACAGUUCCCACGUCCCUGCGAGCAGUGCCGUGCUGGGGAUACCCCUUUGCCACUUGUUGCACUCCAGUACAUGGGAUUCCUGUUGCUUUUAAUCUAUGUAAAUAAACAACAUGUUUACAUAGUUUUUCA